This 433-nucleotide ribosomal RNA is filed under the name uncultured bacterium. RNAcentral describes it as "partial 16S ribosomal RNA". It matches the Rfam family "Bacterial small subunit ribosomal RNA", at positions 29 to 507 of the family's 1533-position model. The record is from RNAcentral.
AACGAACGCUGGCGGCAUGCCUAACACAUGCAAGUCGAACGAGACCUUCGGGUCUAGUGGCGCACGGGUGCGUAACGCGUGGGAACCUGCCCUUAGGUUCGGAAUAACUCCCCGAAAGGGGUGCUAAUACCGGAUAAUGUCUUCGGACCAAAGAUUUAUCGCCUUUGGAUGGGCCCGCGUUGGAUUAGCUAGUUGGUAGGGUAAAAGCCUACCAAGGCGACGAUCCAUAGCUGGUCUGAGAGGAUGAUCAGCCACACUGGGACUGAGACACGGCCCAGACUCCUACGGGAGGCAGCAGUGGGGAAUAUUGGCAAAUGGGCGAAAGCCUGAUCCAGCAAUGCCGCGUGAGUGAUGAAGGCCUUAGGGUUGUAAAGCUCUUUUACCCGGGAUGAUAAUGACAGUACCGGGAGAAUAAGCUCCGGCUAACUCCGUG